Non-coding RNA from Prunus avium (sweet cherry), 500 nucleotides. NCBI's taxonomy places the organism in Eukaryota, Viridiplantae, Streptophyta, Magnoliopsida, Rosales, Rosaceae. The record is from RefSeq and is a predicted model, not a curated record.
AUUGUGCCUGGAAUGAUCGUUACAGGCAUGGAAGUUGCUGAGAUAGAUGGAUCUCCAAGAAUGGGACCUACGUUUGGAGCCAUGAUGAUAUCAGGGCAAAAGGCAGCCCACUUGGCAUUGAAGGCACUAGGGCUUCCCAACGCUUUGGAUGGAUCAUACGUGGGAAGCAUUCAACCAGAGCUGAUCUUGGCUGCCGCGGAUUCUGCUGAGAUUGCCGAGGCUUAAAAAUGGGGAUAAGAAAACCAAGCCGGAAAUAAUAGCGGUUAGGAGUGAGUUUAUGGCGGUGGGUAAGCGAUGGUGUUGAUAUUUGAUGUUGGCGAUGUGAACUGAGUUUUGUUAAUAAUGUGAACUGAGUAUCUGUUGAUGUUUUGCUUAGACUUUGUUGGAAAUGGAAAUGGUAGCAUCAUUUGCUUCCUAUUAUCUUCUCUGCUUGUGCUUGUGUAACCCUAUUACCUUUUUGAAUAUUAUAAGAGAAACCUAUAAAAAGACCGUUCGCUCAA